CAGUAUUUACGCUGCUGUUACGUAGGUCUGUUCUCUUCUCCCGUUCUGUCUUUCUGCCUGUUCGCUGCAACGCGCUUCGAAGCUGCAUGUUGGCGUGUUUGUCAACCCACUAUUUAAUCCGCCUAAUAGUACGUGUUGCCCGGCUUCACUCUCCUCUAUCAUUACCUUGACUUCAUCUUCCAUGAACACUUUUGGUCCACGGUUAUUCCCGACUGAACCCCCCCGUCUUUGCCAACAUUGUAUAAAUUGUGAGGCAGGUGCCGUCGACCUGAGUUGAUUAGAGAUGCGUAGAUCACAGGAGUGUAAAUCACAAAUGUUUUUUUUUUUUAAGUAUAAAUCUAAGGGGGUUCAUUUAAAUGAGGCCUCUGAACUCAACUACAUCCAGCACCUUUGGGAUGACCUGCAUAGCUAAAUGUGAGCCAGAGCCCUAAUCACCCAACAUCAGUGUUCAGCCUCACUUGUGCUCUCGGUGUGAAUGGGUGCAAAUCCCUGCAGUCAAAAUCUUAUGGAAAGCCUUCAAAGAGGACUGAAGUCUGUUACAGCAGCAUAUUAAUGCCUGCAGUUUUGAAAUAAGACGUUAUACGGACGUUGCCAUUGUCCACAUGCAUUUGGCCGCGCGUCGCACACUCCUGUGAUGUAGAUUAGUCAGGAUGAGCUGUGACUACUGUCCCCCUCACUGUAAUGUAUUGUCGCUGUAAAUGAGCUCUGGCCUGUGAUUCUCUGCAGUCAGCUCUUAGCUGGUGAGUAUGAAUUAUCCUCCUGCAUCACAGAGACACAGCGAGAGAGAGAGAAACGGGAGCGUAGGUACAGAGAAACAAGCAGAGCAGCGAGGGAUGGAGUGAGACGGGCGGACGGGGAGAGCAGAAGAGGUCAUGGCCCGUUUCACACGGCCAACGAGGAGAUUACAGGAGGUCCGCGGGCAUGACACGGGCUGCGCGCAGAUGCAAACACGCCACCUGCGGAGGAGCCGAGGGAAGGACAAAGGAAGGCUCGUAGAGGGGACACAAACCGAGAAAAACGCUUCACUCGGCGAGAUCCAAGUGAUAGCAAGCGACGACGACUGCGCGGAGGCGAGAUAAAAACACGCUGUCAUCCAGAGCUGCUGAGUCCACGAGCCUGCAGAGCGAGCGUGCUGCUGUUACCGCUCGUGGCACACACUGGACUUUCCAAGUGUCAUGUCUUGUUACACAUUAGCCGCACACCGACCACUGCGCGAGAGAGACAGGCCGGCGCCCAGCGUGGGGACUCCACGCCAUAUGUCGGACACCGCGUGGCGGAGCUACAGCAGCGACGAGAGUCCAGCUCGAUCAGAACGUUACACAUGUCGUUUUCAUUUAGGCGCUCGUUCACGGCCGAGUAAUAGCUCUAAUUUGCCCCGUGAUUCACAGGCAGGGGUGAUAUCAUAUGUUCAUGGACACUUCAGACAGCUUCGAUUUAAAUAACAGCUGAAGCCACGAGAACAGCUGUAUGGAAAAGUCAGCUGCAGUUAGGCCCCAAAUGAGUUCAGAUAUGACUAAUGUCACACACGUUACGUAGGCGUCAAGCGACCGUGAGCUCACAAUCGGGGAUAUUUGUGUCGGCCUACUGACCUAAUGGGCUUCAGUCAUGACUUUCUUUUUCUGUCCUGUACAUGUAUAGACCCGUUUCACAGCGGCAGGCGUUUUGACCCUGUAUAGCAGCAAAAGCACAGAUGGAAUUAUUAUCAACGAUGGCUUCAUUAAGUGCCCCAGCAAGUUAUUCCAGUCAGCCAGUACACAGCUCUGGUUACCUCAUUAAGUCAUGACUUCAUAAACAUUGGAUGCCUUUGUUUUUUUUGUCUGAGUUGUUCAUGAGGACUUGAUGUCCUAGUUGGCCAUGGAAACAUUACCUUCGAAACGUAUUUUACGCGAAUAUCAACUGUAACUAAGCGACAACCUUUUUUAAAUAUUCAUACCGCUUGUCCAGCAUCAGCAACAUCCCGGUUGCCGCUGCGUAAAGCCGAGCGCGUCCCAAAGUCUGAAGGCACACCAGUGAAUUUGGGUGAUGCGUGCAAACUGAGCGGCCUCUCAUUUCCACGCUGCCACUCGUCUCUUUCUUCUGCUCCAGAUAAGUUCUUUUUAAUCGCUGACCUCGCUUCGCUAUAUGCCCACAAACUGCACGUGAAGAGACAGAGGCUGGUCACACCACCGGCCUGAGGGGAAAUCGCUGAGCUGCGUCCUUUCACUGAAUUACAAAUGGGGCAAGGAAAUGACAUCAUCGGACCAGAGAGAAGACACCUUGGUUUUAGCAACCCGUGUUACCCAACUGUGGACUUCCUGAUCUAUUAGAUUUUAAUGUUACAAGUGUUUUGAAGAUAUUUCUCCAUCACUGUGCCACUAUUUUGUUGAUUUUAUGAUAUCGAAAAGAAAAAAAACGUCUUUAUUGGAUCAGUUUAUAGUAAAAUCACACUUUUAAUUUCACUACACAGGAGUUUUCAGACCCCCAGGCAACUUCCUGCUUUGUCACUGCUGAUCUAAGACAACCCCAGUGGAAGUUUAAACCUUCGCUGUCUGUAGGUAUCAUGAAAGCUGUCUGCUCGGUCGGCCUCCUUGCCAAGAGAAAGCAGCCCCCACCCAACCCCCCGUCCUCCUUCCUCCUCAUCUUUCCAUCUACUUUUGUACCCUGGGAAACCCCCUCGCCAUAGUCUCCAUGACACAUUUAACCCACCUAUUAUGCUGCACUGUGGGGGGCCCGGCAAACCCAAACAAUAAUUUAGACCCCGUUUUACUGGAGCACUUAUCUUCUAAGUGCUCGCACAAGUAGUCAAAGCCACACACUGUUAUAAUGUUCAAUUUUGAUGGAUGACGGAGUCUCACACUUAGUUUGCGACUGAGAGAAUUUUUGACACAAAGAUGCUUAAACAGCUGGCAGGGGAAUGAAGACGUAAAGAGCUCUGAGUUUAAAGUUUCCCAAAACGUCCUCGGGGAUACAACUCUGAUGGUUAUUUGAGGUUAUCUGAGAGGUUAUUUGACUUUGAUUGUUAUUUCCAGAGUCAGUCACCUCUGAACUUGUGAAUGGCUUGCUGUUCAGGACAGGGGUUGUUUGACAAGGAACUGUUAGACCUCAUAACUCACCCUUCAAACACAAAUAGGUUUGUUUUUCUGCUUGAGAAACAGUUGAACAAAAGAAACUGAAUAUAUUCGCACGUGAUAUGGGUUUUUCCAUCAGCACUUUAGGCCGGGCCGGGUCAAACCAUGUCAUGCCGAGGAUGGACUGCGACCUGAUCGAAGUGUGCCGAAACACCACGGAGCUUGUUCAGAUGGGCCUCGUCAUCAUUCAGGGAUGAAUGGAAACAAAACUUCACCCGACUUUCCUUCUGCAUGAGGAACCUCACCGGAUGACUUUGGCGCGGACACAACUUGACCGGAGCACAAAGUGUGAAUCAUCGCUCCACCAGUCCCCCCCGUCUCCUCCUCUCUCCGUCCUGAUUUGUAUGCCACAGCGGUUGUACCAGCGCUCUGCUCUGAUUAAUGCAUGUUUAUGAGAUGCUGCGUUAAACCUGUCAUUGUCCAGAUAGCCUCCCCCCCUCCUCUCUGUCGUGCGUUCCUCCCUCUGUCUCCUUGUUGACUUAUUUUCUCCCAGAAGUGCUGUGUUGAUACGACAGCACCAGGUAGGACAGGCCGGGGCACGGCAGGACAGGGGGACACGGCGGCGGCGGGCAAUAAAAGUGUCAUUUUUCACCUCGUUCGUAAACAGUCGUAACGUUGAGAUGAGCCAUUGCCUAUUAUGGGCUCCGUCCAGCCUGUGACAUCAGUAAACAGAGGAGGACAGCUCUGUGCGAGCGCCUGGCCUCGACCAAUGGGGAGUGUGUUUUAACAAGCCGGGAGUCUGGACUAGCUCGGCCCAUGGUAACCCCAGGUAGACAAUGCACUUGUUAUGGUUGGGCCUGGGAACAGACGCGGGUCUAACACUUAUCAAGCUGUCCUGCGAGGCACAAACUUUGGAUCAUGAAUAUUGCAGAGGUUAUGGGGUUAUGGGACAGCUUUAUUACUCUGACAAACACCAUUUCUCAGGAGGGUUCGAGGUGGGAGGACAGGACGGCCAUAUGGCUGCCUGUUCUGCUUUGCGAAACAGGCCGUUGAACUUUUUAACUCCGCCGCGUGACUUUUGAGUCACCUUUAUCUUGCACUGCUUGACCCAUGCUGUGGCAGCAAAUGAGAGUCUAUCUUUAGGCGCAGUGAUUCAGCACGCCCGCUCAGAUCGCGAGCGGGAGAAUGCCGGGGAAAGGUGUGCGUGAUGUGACAGUGUGGGGGUUUGUGAAACAUGUGCCCCACGCUGUUCCAACACAACCCGCCUGUUUUGGGUUUUUUUUUUGUUGUUGAUACAAACUGAUAAAGCAGCUGACAGGGAUGCAGAUUUUUUGUCAUAAUGCAGGUGGCUGACUUCAAGGAAGGGCGGAAGGAGCGAAAGCAGUGGAGGGUGAGGAGGAGAUGACAGGACACCUCCCCUCCAUAUGCUCACCGCGCCUCUCCUCCAUAUGCAUGCGGCUCGUCGCCACCUCUUCCUCUCUUCACAUAGGCGGCGCUGAUGAAUUGUGAAUUUAUACACCUUUCAUGAAUCUCCCGCGCAGAGGAAAGCCAGAACAGGCCUGCGAGGGAAUGCUUUGGUUUUCGAGUGAGAAAGGCAGACGGCGCCCUCUUGUUUACAGAGGAAGAACUGCACAUCUCGUUCCUUCAGGUUCUGUGCUGUUAGAAACCAGCAACACCAUGUGGCAUUCAUAAAUAAUAUGUUAAGAUUUAAUGAAUGGUUUAUAACACACUUUAAUGUUAAUGAUGUAUAAAUAGAUAAUGAAUGAGAAUAGAGUCAAACACUACUGUAUUCAUAUAGAAUUGUACUUCAAAGAGGAAGUAAGAAUUGUUGACAGAUUAAAAUGUCCUCAUAUCUGUUAAUAACUACAUUAUAGCUAAAUUACAGUGUUUUUCACCAUUUGUUAAAUGUUAAAUACUGAUCAUAGAUGCUAUAUAUUUUUUGCUGUGAAUAACGGUGAAGGAGAAAGGGAAGGGAAGCAUAACUUACUGCAAAAACCGGUCACAAAGCUGAAAACAAGGCUGCUUUUCAGAGUCUUCUUAUAUUAUUAUCAUAGCAUGUCUGGCUGUGCUGCUAUCCAUCUCCUCUGUCAUGUAUUUAGGCCCAUAG
This is a long non-coding RNA of Acanthopagrus latus (yellowfin seabream), 5154 nucleotides long. RefSeq lists it as uncharacterized. The transcript is spliced from 3 exons. NCBI's taxonomy places the organism in Eukaryota, Metazoa, Chordata, Actinopteri, Spariformes, Sparidae. The record is from RefSeq and is a predicted model, not a curated record.